GAAGGGGGCGAGCGUUGUUCGGAUUUACUGGGCGUAAAGGGCGCGCAGGCGGCCAUUCAAGUCAGGCGUGAAAGCCCCGGGCUUAACCUGGGAGGUGCGCUUGGGACUGGAUGGCUAGAGAUCGGGAGAGGAGAGUGGAAUUCCCAGUGUAGAGGUGAAAUUCGUAGAUAUUGGGAAGAACACCGGUGGCGAAGGCGGCUCUCUGGACCGAUACUGACGCUGAGGCGCGAAAGCGUGGGGAGCAAACAGGAUUAGAUACCCUGGUAGUCCACGCUGUAAACGAUGUGUGCUAGACGUUGGGGAGCCUAGCUCUUCGGUGUCGCAGCUAACGCUUUAAGCACACCGCCUGGGGAGUACGGCCGCAAGGUUA
This 370-nucleotide ribosomal RNA is filed under the name uncultured bacterium. RNAcentral's name for it is "bacterial SSU rRNA". It matches the Rfam family "Bacterial small subunit ribosomal RNA", at positions 527 to 896 of the family's 1533-position model. The record is from RNAcentral.